UCUUAUCGAGAGAGGUGGAGGGAUGUGCCCUGCGAAGCCCGGCAACCGUCUUAUAAAGAAAUGGUGCCAAUUCACAUAAAGUUAACGCCGUUUAACUUUUGAAGAUGAG
This 109-nucleotide non-coding RNA is filed under the name Staphylococcus auricularis. RNAcentral describes it as "SAM riboswitch aptamer (S box leader)". It matches the Rfam family "SAM riboswitch aptamer (S box leader)". From Rfam's summary of the family: The SAM riboswitch is found upstream of a number of genes which code for proteins involved in methionine or cysteine biosynthesis in Gram-positive bacteria. The SAM riboswitch acts at the level of transcription termination control. The predicted structure consists of a complex stem-loop region followed by a single stem loop terminator region. Lineage: Bacteria; Bacillati; Bacillota; Bacilli; Caryophanales; Staphylococcaceae. The record is from RNAcentral.